This 429-nucleotide ribosomal RNA is filed under the name bacterium. Its description in RNAcentral is "partial 16S ribosomal RNA". It matches the Rfam family "Bacterial small subunit ribosomal RNA", at positions 355 to 776 of the family's 1533-position model. The record is from RNAcentral.
UAGGGAAUCUUCGGCAAUGGGGGCAACCCUGACCGAGCAACGCCGCGUGAGUGAAGAAGGUUUUCGGAUCGUAAAGCUCUGUUGUAAGAGAAGAACGUGUGUGAGAGUGGAAAGUUCACACAGUGACGGUAACUUACCAGAAAGGGACGGCUAACUACGUGCCAGCAGCCGCGGUAAUACGUAGGUCCCGAGCGUUGUCCGGAUUUAUUGGGCGUAAAGCGAGCGCAGGCGGUUUAAUAAGUCUGAAGUUAAAGGCAGUGGCUUAACCAUUGUUCGAUUUGGAAACUGUUAAACUUGAGUGCAGAAGGGGAGAGUGGAAUUCCAUGUGUAGCGGUGAAAUGCGUAGAUAUAUGGAGGAACGCCGGUGGCGAAAGCGGCUCUCUGGUCUGUGACUGACGCUGAGGCUCGAAAGCGUGGGGAGCAAACAGG